This 457-nucleotide long non-coding RNA is filed under the name Homo sapiens (human). RNAcentral's name for it is "non-protein coding lnc-BCL7B-1:3". Lineage: Eukaryota; Metazoa; Chordata; Mammalia; Primates; Hominidae. The record is from RNAcentral.
AUGGCUUUCCUUCUGAUGCCUCAGCCAAUUCCUCUCUCCUUCUUGAAUUCCAGGACGAAAACAGCAACCAGAGUUCCGUGUCUGACGUCUAUCAGCUUAAGGUGGACAGCAGCACCAACUCAAGCCCCAGCCCCCAGCAGAGUGAGUCCCUGAGCCCAGCACACACCUCCGACUUCCGCACGGAUGACUCCCAGCCCCCAACGCUGGGCCAGGAGAUCCUGGAGGGUCGUUGAGGAAGAGGAAGACUCAGGUGCCCCGCCCCUGAAGCGCUUCUGUGUGGACCAACCCACAGUGCCGCAGACGGCGUCAGAAAGCUAGCACCAUCCCGGCCCUCCGCCUCCUGGCCCUGCCUCUAUUUAUUGCAUUCUGGUUCUGGCCGCGCCGCGUUGCUGGGGUAAGGGCAAGCACUGGGGUCAAGAGCCUGCACACAUGAGCCUUCCGGGCUGGAAGGCUGGCG